Bos taurus (domestic cattle) is the source of this 5968-nucleotide long non-coding RNA. NCBI's taxonomy places the organism in Eukaryota, Metazoa, Chordata, Mammalia, Artiodactyla, Bovidae. The record is from Ensembl.
CCUCCGCCCCACGAGGCUGACCCCCCUGCAUGCCGUCCCCAGGCCCUCCACUUGCUCAGCCACUCAGACUCGCUAAUCUGGGACAUGUUUCAUUCCGGUCCCUAGCUUGGGGGUCCUGGGCCCACUCAGCGCCUCACCCAGCCUGCCGCUCUUUAGGAACCCUGCACACUAUAAAAGGCUCUCUGUGUGCAAAGCAGCUUCUCCCACAAACUGCUCCCCGAGUGGGUGUCAGUACCUGUAGCUGGCAGAGCGUACCUUUCUCACUUGGAGCAUUGGCCUGGCAGUGAUUGUCAUGGGUCUGCAGCCACUCUGUGGGCCCCUGGGAGGAUGCACCCGGGGCCCCCAGAAGAAGCUCCAGCUGCGUGGCUCCCAGGGCUUGACGCCGGGCCUGGGUUCAGGGCCAUCGCCAUCUGCUGUCUGAACAGCUUCAGACCCCAAGCGGGCAGAAGGAAGAGGCUUCAGGCUGCGUCCCCCCAACACCUGCCAUUAACAACCGCCGAGCUCUUCCGCCCAAGGUGCUCAGACCCGGGUGCCGUUAAAUCCCCCGUGAUGUCAGGACCUCGCAUCACUGAGGCGCCCAGCUCCUUCCACUUUCUCCGCUGGGUCUCCAGAGCUGAGAGGGAUGAGCUGCAUGCAAAGGCUCAUCCAGGAGGUCGUCAGGUGCCUCUGACGCAUCGUGGGAUUUCACCCGAGUCUUCUGCCCCUGGAGCCUCCAUCCAGAAGCAGGCUUAGCUCUGGGGCUGGGGCGAGACCUCCACAUCCAGGCCCCAGCUUGGGGAGAGGGGGUUGAGGCUCCAAGGCUGAGUCCUAGGGUCCCGAGCCCUCUGCCUCCCGCCUGCUCCCGGGCCAAAAAGGAGCAGGCUUGCAGAGGCAGGCUCCCUGGGGAACUCUCGUGUACAGACCAAGAUGUAAAUAAACACUUUGCUUUUCUUGCCUGACUUGAUGGUGUCUCUGUGCUGGGGGAGGGAGGGUGAAAGAGGGGAGGCCUGGUCUCGGAACUUCUGGGGCCAACCUCUCAUAGGAAGAGCGGGCCUCACCAGGUAACAGUCUCCAGGGCAGGGCCUCACCCUGCAGACCCUCCUGUGAGCCUGCUGUCCCUGGGAGAGGAGAUGAGGGUCCCAUCAUCAUCCCUGGUGAUGUUUGAAAACUGUCCUCUGGGCAGCCAUGUUCGCUUUCUCAGCUGGGGCCUCCCAGGGUUUCAACUUGCUCUGGUCACUAGCUGGGUCCUGGUGCCAGCUCCCGCCUGUGUCCCCUCCUGUUCCUCCCCUGGGUCCCAGGCCCACAUCCUCCACUUGAGCCUGGCUGAGUCCUGCCAAGCCUUGGAGGUGAACGGCCAGAGUCCCGCCCUCUCCUUGUCUGCUCCUGGUUGUUAUGCGAUUCCGAGUGUUGACGGGGUUCACAGGCGCCCAGCCUCUGGAGGUAAGUUGUUGGCCCAGGCCCCCACACAGACCCUGGUGCCAUGGGUCUGCCCGGGUGGGUGGACGGUGCCCCAUUCAGUGCAUUCACACAGCCUCCUGGGCUCACGGCAAAGUCAUCUUCCAGCACUGGAAGUCGUGUGUUCUAGACCUUUCCUCCCCUCCAUCCUGCUAACCUGCCUUUCCCUUCCUAACUAGGGUUGCCAGACUACAAGUCAAAAUACAGAACACCCAGUUAAAUCUGAAUUUGAGAUAAUUUUUCAGUAUAAGUAUGUCCCAAGCAAUACUGUUAUUCAUCGUUUAUCUGAAAUUCAAAUAUAACUGGGCCUCCUGUUCUAUCUGGCAACUCGAUUCCCAACUCCUUUGAGGAGCCCUCUCCUGCCAGCCAGGUGUCUCCAAUUCCCGAGCACUGGACCCACACCCCAGUUGCAGAAACAGCUUCCUUCUUGGUGUGCCAUUACUUUUUUUUGAGACUGGUUCUGCCCUCUACCCCAGCCAUCCAGAAGCAACUGCCGGCCUUUACAGAAUCUCUAACCCCCUUGCACCCUGGGGUGUGUGUUGAGACCUGAAGUCCUGAAAACGUGAACUCAGUGUUGUCAAGGAAGCAGAGGAAAGCACAGUGAGGUCUUGAGAUCCAGGGUAGGGACAGGGGGUGUCACUGAGAACCCCAGUAUUAAACUUUCAACGUGCUGAUGUUUCACAAGAAUUAGGCCAUUAAGCACCAACUCUGUGUUCAUGGAAAAAUUCUUACACUUGAAAUCAGACCUCCACUCUCUGACUUCCAUGUGACUGAGCAAGUUAUCUGAGUUUCAGUUGCCUCAUCUAUAAAACAAGGGAAGUUAACAGUUCCUACCCCAGGAGUCAAGUCACCGGAUGGGAUCCGGUACGUACUUGCAGAAUCAGAAUCUGGAUUUGGGAGGCAAAACUCCUCUUCCCCCAAAGGCUCCUAAUCAGAAUGUCUCCUCUAUAAAAUUAGUUUUCCAGCGUGGCUGUAAAAAUAUACCACAAGCCAGUGGAGGGGUUUAAAACAACAGAAAUUAAUUUUCUCAGUUCCAGAGGCCAGAAGUCUGAGGUUAAGGUAUCAGCAAGAUUAGUUCCUUCUAGAGCCUCCACUGUGUACUCAGUCAUGUCCAACUCUUUGUGACUCUAUGGACUGUAGCCUGCCAGGCUCUUCUGUCCAUGGGAUUUCCCAGGCAAGAAUACUGGAGUGAGUUGCCAUGUUCACCAGGAGAUCUUCACGACCCAGAGACUGACCCCACGUCUCUUGCACCUCCUUCACUGGCAGGCGGGUUCUUGACCAAUGUGCCACCCCUGGAGGCUCCAGCUGAGGGUCUACUCCAUGCCUCUCCUGGCUGAUGGUUACCAGCAGUCCCUGGUGCUCCUCGGCUUGUGGCUACAUCACUCCAAUCUCCCUUUGUUGUCAUGUGACCGUCUUCAUCUAUGUAUCCAGGUUUUGCUGCUUUUUUUUUCUGGUUGCACCGAGUCUUAGUUGUGGCAUGCAGGAUCUUCAGUUGCAGCACAUGGGAUCUUGUUCCCUGAUCAAGGUUUGAAUCCCAUCAACUCACCAUCCCCUCAAAUUUAGGGCCUCUUAGAGUCCUCUGGGCCCAGGAUAAAGUCUCCUGAAGGGUCAAAAAUACCUGGAUACCAAAAUCACUUAACCAACAGACUUACUCUGCCGGCUCCAGCUCUGUGACAAGUUUUGUGCCAGGCCCUGGGGAUUUGGUACCAAAAAGCAAAGACUCUUCCUCUUGGAAGGAGAGACGUAGGUGACUUGCGUGAUGAGAGGUACCAAGGAAGAUGUCAAGGCAGGGAUGGGAGCUGGGGGCAGGAGGAUUGAGGCCAGUGGGCAUCAGGGACAAUUUCCCUGAGGACAGGGCAUUUCAGCAGAGCCCUGGAGGAUGGUAGGAUCUGGGAAUCACACGUGGAGGAGGCUUGUGGAAAGCUUGGCCCUUUCAGGGCACUGUGGCUGGGCGGUGAGUAGAGAGGUGGGGCUGGGGGAAUGGGACAGCUGAGGCCAUUCCGAGUGUGGUGGGUCAAGGGUGGGUCUCAUCAUCCAUUAAGCGAGUGUUUUAUCAGCCACCAGCACCUGACAGACAGGGGGUAGGGCAAGGAAGACAGAUCCGUCCCCCACGCUCACGGCAGAGCAGCUUCUAGAAAGGGAGGUUAUCAAACCUGGGUGCAUAUUUGAAUCACCUGGAGGAACUUGAAGCCCCAUGGAUAUAGGGACCCAGCCCAGUGAUUUGAUUUGAAUCUACCAGGUGAAGGGUGGGGUUGGACACGGGUUUUUCCAAAUUCCCCCAGGAGAUUCCAGCGUGUUGAGGGCUGAGAGUCAUUGCAUCAUCAUUCUGGCAAUCAUCUGAUGAAUCAGGGGAAGCCUUAGGAGGAAAAGAUGGAGAUGGCCAGGUGAAGGAGGUUGGGAAGGACAUGGAGAGCAUAUGCAAACAACCAGCAAGGCAGAGGUCAGAGGUCAGGGCUGUGCAUGGCAACCACUAAGAAGCGUCUUUAGCUGGGGGCCGCCUGGACAAGUUCCAGAGAGCGGCAGGGGGACUAGGUUGCUGAGAGAGGAAAGGAGACGUAGGCAGCAUGGACUCAGUCUUCACAUCACCCUGCAAAGGAAGCCACUUGUUCUGUUUACCCACGCGCAAGCCAAGGCACACAGACUCUAAGCGACUUAGACGCCACCACACAGCAAUGUGCAUCAGGCGGCGGCCCCAGCCCAGCCCUUGCCCACCUGGCCUCUCUGGGAUGGGGAGAACUACCUGGGGUUCAGCUGGCGUGCCCUCCCACGUUUUCCUGAAAUGAGACUGUAGGGGGAUUUGCUGAUGAGUUAAUGUUUUGUUGGUUGAUGCAUUGAUUGGCAUGUACUUUUAUAAUUUCUUUUUUGGUGGAGGAUGGGGUAGGCUGGGCACUGAGACACUCGCGCACAGAUCGGAGCCCAGGAGAAUGCAAGGUCUCCCUGGUUUGUGCGCAGUGAGGGGUCCCUAGAACUUAGCUGCACAUUACAGCCUGAGGAAGGGGAGCUUCAAGGGCAGGUGUACCCAGGGCUAGGUCAUGUCCUACUCUUGAUGACCCCAUGGACUGUAGCCUGCCCAGUUCCUUUGUCCAUGGAGUUUUUCAGGCAGGAAUACUGGAGUGGGUUGCCAUUUCCUUCUCCAGGGGAUCAUCCCGACCCAGGGAUUGAACCUGCGUCUCCCACAUUGGCAGGCAGAUUCUUUACCACUGAGCCACCUGGGAAGCCCCAUUUAGGGGCACUGUGUUUUAAAACGGGAGGAGCCUCAGUGUGCACCGCUGAGCUGGCCGUUUUGCAAAUCUGCCUGCAGUGGACCGAGGUCUUCCCGCAGCUGUUGCCCCUAGAGCCUGCUUUCUCUUGGGCGGGUGGUCUCUACCCUGUCUCACUUCCUGGGUCUCCACCUUGCCCAGCAGGUGCCUCAACCAGUUAUUUUGGACGUUUUGGGUAGAACUGGGGUUCCUGGGGGAUGGUCAAGCAGAAAUACAAGUUGGUGACAUGUCUUCCAGAACACAAGAACGCCAUUCAACAAAGAUGUCACUAAACGCCACAGCCACACAAUCAUCCGCUCUGGCUGAGGCUGGGCAGGUGGCCAGCCCACAGAUGGACGGACAGGGAGGUGGCAGGGCAGUAAGCAGGGCUGAGCCUGCUCCCAGGGGCGCCCCUCCGGGGUCUCACUGGCCUCCCAGGUCAGUCGAGGAAUUCAUCCUUAAGGUAUUGCUCAGGCUCCCUCCCCAGGUGCCGACUCGCACGUUCCACUGUUCCACUCGCUGCAUGUGGACUCUGGCCGCCAGGAUCCUCCUUCCUCCUGGCCAGCCCCAGCUGCCCACUCCUCCUCGGGCUCCUGUGAUCCGGAUAGCUGUCUCCAUCCCAGCCCCGGAGACAAUUUUUAAGGAGCUUCAACAUUCUUCUGUCCAGGGGAAGGGACGGCUCCAAGUUGCUUCGGUAGUGACUCCGACUCUUUGUGACCUUAUGGACUGCAGCCCACCAAGCUCCUCUGUCCAUGGGAUUCUCCGGGCAAGAAUACUGGAGCGGGUUGCCAUGCCCUCCUCCAGGGGAUCUUCCUGACCCCGGCACUGAACUCACAUCUCUUAGGUCUCCUGCGUUGGCAGACAGAGGACCGAGGCUCAGGAGACUCCCCAGAGGACACACAGCAAGGAUGCGGCCAAGCUGGGGUAUAGACAUGCAGUUUCUGACUCCAAGCUAACACACAGAGCCUGUGAGAUCGCAGAAAAGCAGCCUUGGGUCUUGAAUGAGUCUGGGGCCCGUCCCUGAUGGCCUGGCGCCUGUUGAGUGGAGGUGUCUGAAGUAGGCAUGAGUGAUAACACUGCCUUCUGGGUACAUGGAGAGAGGACGAAGCCAACAAAAAGGAAAGAAGCAAGAAGUGGGAAAAGUAUGCUGUCCAGAUACCAGUAAGCCGCUGGACCCAGCCAUGCCUGAAACUGACCACAUCUCUGGACUAAUCUGAUUAUAUGAGCCAAUGAAUGCGUUUCAUUUUUUGUAAAACUAUCCUGAGCUGUGUUUCUGUCAUAGAAAGGGUCCUAAG